UGCUGAAGGGCGCCCGGCCGUACCCGCUAUGCUGCAAGCGCCCCGCGGGGGAAGUCCGGUCGAAGUCCGGCGCUGACCCGCAACGGUAGGCGGAGCUCAACACGCGGCCCCGCAAGCCCGAUUACCCGCGGUGGUGAAGGCUCCUGU
This 147-nucleotide non-coding RNA is filed under the name Streptomyces thermolilacinus. The record is from RNAcentral. Lineage: Bacteria; Bacillati; Actinomycetota; Actinomycetes; Kitasatosporales; Streptomycetaceae.